GCGGAUAUGGUGAAAUUGGUAGACACGCACGCUUGAGGGGCGUGUAGAAUAUCUGUGCGAGUUCGAGUCUCGCUAUCCGCA
Molecule: transfer RNA, 81 nt
Filed under: Cyanophora paradoxa
Lineage: Eukaryota; Glaucocystophyceae; Cyanophorales; Cyanophoraceae
Description: tRNA leucine
Rfam family: tRNA
About the family: Transfer RNA (tRNA) molecules are approximately 80 nucleotides in length. Their secondary structure includes four short double-helical elements and three loops (D, anti-codon, and T loops).
Source: RNAcentral